CUCCCAGCAGAACAAAGCUUAUUGUUUGUCCAGAUGGUGUUUCUAUCAGUCUCUAGACCAAAUCAGUAAGGAAGCAACGCUCACUUCAAGAAUUAACGAGGAAAAUAAAAGUUUGCCUUUCCUGGGAAAGGAAUAUAAUGAGCAAUUUAUCAUCUAACAAUAAGGCUUAGGUAAAUAAAUGCCAGUCAUGAGCCUAUGACUCUUAAAGAACCAGGUCAAGUGAACUCCAUGCCCCAAGUAAUCCCCAAACCAGGUGAUUCCAGCUCUUUAGGCUCCUUUCCCAAAAUCUGGUACAUCAGCUUCCUGGAUCUGGCUGGAAGGAGCUGAGACUGUUGGAAUUUGGCCUGGGGGAUUUCAUCACAGGGCCUCAGGGCAUGGACUGCAUAUGAUUUCUGUAUAUAUGAUGAGACUCAGCCUGAAAGUGGAUUCCAAGUAUUGGGCAAUCUCUCUUCAACUGCCUUCCCAAAGGGUAUUUUUACUCUACUUUUUACCUGCAUUCAAUGGGCCACCCUUCCCCAUAUUCACUAGACGUGGCAUAUUCAUGAAAGGAAGGCAUCUCUUGGAAGUGAUGGGAGGCAACAUUCCUGAAGAGUCUGCUGACAGGUAAGGGCUUUUCAGGACACAAUGCUAAACCUAUUUUUCUUAAAAGCCUAAAAUAUCCUAACAACAAGAAAGAAACCCCGUAAUAGCUCAUACUUUGGGGAUUUCCAUGUUGCUUUUUUUUUUCCCCAUGAAAGAUACAUGACAUUGUACUCAGAAUUGGCACUUGCAUUGUUAUAAGAACACUGACUCACUACCUCCUCUCAUUAAGGCCUCAGGAAUUCUGAGAUGAUGGAUUUUUCUCUACUGAAAACCACCGGCCCUCGUGAGGCCCCCAAUGCUCUACUAUUUGGAUAAGAAACUUGUGAACAUUUUGCAAAUUAAAAGAAAAAGCCAUAGGAAAAAAGUAGUUUUAAAGUACUGUAGUUCAUUUCAAUGAAUUCAACCAAGAUGCACAAAUCGAUUCACACAGCCACACUGGGAUGUAAGUGGAAAUCCCACUGUCACUCCAUCUGUGUGAAGACUUCCUAAUGCACUUCCAAACCUGCUGCCUCACAUUAACUUCCCAAAGUCCAGAAAAGAUGGGCUGAACAGU
Non-coding RNA from Odocoileus virginianus texanus, 1135 nucleotides. NCBI's taxonomy places the organism in Eukaryota, Metazoa, Chordata, Mammalia, Artiodactyla, Cervidae. The record is from RefSeq and is a predicted model, not a curated record.